GGUCAAGCGAAUAAGUGCAUGUGGUGGAUGCCUUGGCGAUCACAGGCGAUGAAGGACGUAGUAGCUUGCGAAAAGCUGCGGGGAGCUGGCAAACGAGCUUUGAUCCGCAGAUGUCCGAAUGGGGAAAACCCGGCCCGUAUGGGUCAUCCCUUGCUGAAUACAUAGGCAAGGGAGGCGAACGCAGUGAACUGAAACAUCUAAGUAGCUGCAGGAAAAGAAAUCAACCGAGAUUCCCAAAGUAGUGGCGAGCGAAAUGGGAACAGCCUUGUACUCUUUAGCAGUAUUGUUAGCGGAACGGAAUGGAAAGUCCGGCCAUAGUGGGUGAUAGCCCCGUACGCGAAAACAGUAUUGUGGAACUAGGUGUACGACAAGUAGGGCGGGACACGUGAAAUCCUGUCUGAAGAUGGGGGGACCAUCCUCCAAGGCUAAAUACUCGUGAUCGACCGAUAGUGAACCAGUACCGUGAGGGAAAGGCGAAAAGAACCCCGGGAGGGGAGUGAAAUAGAUCCUGAAACCGCAUGCAUACAAACAGUCGGAGCCUGGAAACGGGUGACGGCGUACCUUUUGUAUAAUGGGUCAGCGACUUACAUUCAGUGGCAAGCUUAACCGAUUAGGGAAGGCGUAGCGAAAGCGAGUCCGAAUAGGGCGUUCAGUCGCUGGGUGUAGACCCGAAACCAAGUGAUCUAUCCAUGGCCAGGUUGAAGGUGCGGUAACACGUACUGGAGGACCGAACCCACUAACGUUGAAAAGUUAGGGGAUGAGCUGUGGAUAGGGGUGAAAGGCUAAACAAACUUGGAAAUAGCUGGUUCUCUCCGAAAACUAUUUAGGUAGUGCCUCGUGUCUCACCUUCGGGGGUAGAGCACUGUCAUGGUUGGGGGGUCUAUUGCUGAUUACCCCGCCAUAGCAAACUCCGAAUACCGAAGAGUGCAAUCACGGGAGACAGACAUCGGGUGCUAACGUCCGGUGUCAAGAGGGAAACAACCCAGACCGCCAGCUAAGGUCCCUAAGAUUGGCUAAGUGGGAAACGAAGUGGGAAGGCUAAAACAGUCAGGAGGUUGGCUUAGAAGCAGCCACCCUUUAAAGAAAGCGUAAUAGCUCACUGAUCGAGUCGUCCUGCGCGGAAGAUGUAACGGGGCUAAGCCAGUCACCGAAGCUGCGGAUGCACGUAAGUGCAUGGUAGGAGAGCGUUCUGUAAGCCUGUGAAGGUGUCUUGUAAAGGAUGCUGGAGGUAUCAGAAGUGCGAAUGCUGACAUGAGUAGCGAUAAAGGGGGGUGAAAGGCCCCCUCGCCGUAAGCCCAAGGUUUCCUACGCAACGUUCAUCGGCGUUAGGGUGAGUCGGCCCCUAAGGCGAGGCAGAGAUGCGUAGCUGAUGGGAAGCAGGUUAAUAUUCCUGCACCGUCGUAUGAUGCGAUGGGGGGACGGAUCGCGGAAGGUUGUCCGGGUGUUGGAAGUCCCGGUCCCUACAUUGGAGAUGGCACUUAGGCAAAUCCGGGUGCGUGAUUCAAGGGUGUGGGGCGAGCGACGUUAGGUCGCGAAGCAAUUGGAAGUGGUUCCAAGAAAAGCCUCUAAGCUUCAGUCAUACGAGACCGUACCGCAAACCGACACAGGUGGGCGAGAUGAGUAUUCUAAGGCGCUUGAGAGAACUCGGGAGAAGGAACUCGGCAAAUUGGUACCGUAACUUCGGGAUAAGGUACGCCCUUGUAGUUUGACUGGCUCGCGCCAGAAGGAUGAAGGGGUUGCAAUAAAAUGGUGGCUGCGACUGUUUAAUAAAAACACAGCACUCUGCAAACACGAAAGUGGACGUAUAGGGUGUGACGCCUGCCCGGUGCCGGAAGAUUAAAUGAUGGGGUGCAAGCUCUUGAUUGAAGUCCCGGUAAACGGCGGCCGUAACUAUAACGGUCCUAAGGUAGCGAAAUUCCUUGUCGGGUAAGUUCCGACCUGCACGAAUGGCGUAACGAUGGCCACACUGUCUCCUCCCGAGACUCAGCGAAGUUGAAGUGUUUGUGAUGAUGCAAUCUCCCCGCGGCUAGACGGAAAGACCCCAUGAACCUUUACUGUAGCUUUGCAUUGGACUUUGAACCGAUCUGUGUAGGAUAGGUGGGAGGCUUUGAAACCGGGACGCUAGUUUCGGUGGAGCCGACCUUGAAAUACCACCCUGGUUUGUUUGAGGUUCUAACCUUGGCCCGUGAAUCCGGGUCGGGGACAGUGCAUGGUAGGCAGUUUGACUGGGGCGGUCUCCUCCCAAAGUGUAACGGAGGAGUUCGAAGGUACGCUUGGUACGGUCGGACAUCGUACCUAAAGUGCAAUGGCAAAAGCGUGCUUAACUGCGAGACCGACAAGUCGAGCAGGUGCGAAAGCAGGACAUAGUGAUCCGGUGGUUCUGUAUGGAAGGGCCAUCGCUCAACGGAUAAAAGGUACUCUGGGGAUAACAGGCUGAUACCGCCCAAGAGUUCAUAUCGACGGCGGUGUUUGGCACCUCGAUGUCGGCUCAUCUCAUCCUGGGGCUGUAGCCGGUCCCAAGGGUAUGGCUGUUCGCCAUUUAAAGAGGUACGUGAGCUGGGUUUAAAACGUCGUGAGACAGUUUGGUCCCUAUCUGCCGUGGGCGUUGGAAUCUUGACGGGGGCUGCUCCUAGUACGAGAGGACCGGAGUGGACGUACCGCUGGUGUACCUGUUGUCUCGCCAGAGGCAUCGCAGGGUAGCUAUGUACGGAAGAGAUAACCGCUGAAAGCAUCUAAGCGGGAAACUCGCCUGAAGAUGAGGAUUCCCUGGAGACUUGAUCUCCCUGAAGGGUCGUUCGAGACCAGGACGUUGAUAGGCUGGGUGUGGAAGCGCAGUAAUGCGUUCAGCUAACCAGUACUAAUUGCCCGUGCGGCUUGAUCCU
Molecule: ribosomal RNA, 2882 nt
Filed under: Ralstonia solanacearum
Lineage: Bacteria; Pseudomonadati; Pseudomonadota; Betaproteobacteria; Burkholderiales; Burkholderiaceae
Description: bacterial LSU rRNA
Rfam family: Bacterial large subunit ribosomal RNA
Source: RNAcentral